Molecule: ribosomal RNA, 255 nt
Filed under: uncultured bacterium
Lineage: Bacteria
Description: partial 16S ribosomal RNA
Rfam family: Bacterial small subunit ribosomal RNA
Source: RNAcentral
UACGUAGGGUGCGAGCGUUGUCCGGAAUUAUUGGGCGUAAAGAGCUCGUAGGCGGUGUGUCACGUCGUUCGUGAAAACCUGCAGCUUAACUGUGGGCGUGCGGUCGAUACGGGCAUCACUGGAGUUCGGCAGGGGAGACUGGAAUUCCUGGUGUAGCGGUGGAAUGCGCAGAUAUCAGGAGGAACACCGGUGGCGAAGGCAGGUCUCUGGGGCAUUAACUGACGCUGAGGAGCGAAAGCAUGGGGAGCGAACAGG